UCAAACUUACUACAGCUGAAGAUAUCAAAGAGGAAAUCAUGGGAUUCUACAAGGCACUGAUGGGAACCUCUGCAACCAAUCUGCCUGCUAUAAACCAACGGUACAUGUCAAAUGGCCCAAAGCUGACACAACAAAGAAAGGAACUAUAUGCUGAUGUAACUGAUACAGAAAUAGUGGAGAGUCUCAAGGCUAUUGGAGAUGACAAAGCACCNNNNNNNNNNNNNNNNNNNNNNNNNNNNNNNNNNNNNNNNNNNNNNNNNNNNNNNNNNNNNNNNNNNNNNNNNNNNNNNNNNNNNNNNNNNNNNNNNNNNNNNNNNNNNNNNNNNNNNNNNNNNNNNNNNNNNNNNNNNNNNNNNNNNNNNNNNNNNNNNNNNNNNNNNNNNNNNNNNAGUUGUACCAGUCACAUAUGAAAGAUCUUGAAUAAUUCAAAAAAAGCUGGGGCAUCAUUGGUAGGAAGGUCACCUAAGUUGCUCCGACAUGGCAGUUUAGGUGCCGUACCCGUGUCGACACGACACUAGUAUGGGUGUGGGUAUGGGAUCCGUAUCGGAUGUGGUCAAACAAUUGUGGAUACUUUGACCACGUCAGACAAAAAAAUUGGAGACGAGAUACAAUUUGAUUCCCGAAAUCGGAACCAAAACUAGGGUAAAUCUAAAGAAAAUAGCAUACUUUAUCUAGGAAAUCAAUCAUUUACCUAUCUAACUUGAAAAUAAAGAAAUUCACAUUUUACAAGCUAAGUAUUCCACAAAAUUUCUCAUAAGUUAGAGAUAUUUUCAUAUUUUAAAAUAAUUUUUAGCAGGAUCCCUCCACCCGUAUCCGUACUAGGAUCCAUAUCCCCGAAUAUUAAAAUUUACAUCUUGAAGGAUCCGACCUCUAGAUCCGCACCAGUGUCGGACACCCGCACCCAUGUCCGAGCAACUUAGCUACAAACCUGAUACUAGACCUUUAGAUUCGCACCCGUGUCGGACACCCGCACCCAUGUCCGAGCAACUUAGCAGGUCACCACUGCCACUAAGCAGUUUUUCACCUCAACCAGGAUGUUCAAACCUAUAAACUGUGCAACUAUUACCCUCAUUCCUAAACUGUCCAAACCAUCUACAGUCAAAGAGUACCUUCACCAAAUGGAUAAUGGAAUGUAUCUCAACAGUGAGCUUCUCUGUGCUAGUUAAUGGAGAGGCAACUGAACCAUUUGCUGUUGCUAGGGGGCUGAGGCAAGAGGACCCCAUUUCCCCCCUCCUAUUUGCUCUGGUCAUGGAGUAUUUAAGCAGAUCAUGCAACUCACUAAAAGAUGAUCCAGCAUACCAGUUCCACCCCAGAUGUAAANNNNNNNNNNNNNNNNNNNNNNNNNNNNNNNNNNNNNNNNNNNNNNNNNNNNNNNNNNNNNNNNNNNNNNNNNNNNNNNNNNNNNNNNNNNNNNNNNNNNNNNNNNNNNNNNNNNNNNNNNGCAUACCAGUUCCUCCCCAGAUGUAAAAAACUGGGCAUCACUCACAUGUGCUUUGCUGAUGUUUGCCAAAGGAGACAUUACUUCUAUCCAAAUGUUUCUCUCAAUUCUCUGAAGCUUCUGGACUACAGGCUAAUCUGAAUAAGAGCUCGGCCUAUUUUAGAAGGGUAGCACUGGAUAUACAGAAACAGAUCCUCGACCACCUUGGCUAUGAGCAAGGUCAAUUGCCAUUCAAGUAUCUAGGAGUCCCCCUGUCCACCAAGAAAAUCACACUGCUCCAAUGGCAACCUCUAGUGGAUAGGAUCACUGCCAAGAUCACCUCUUGGACUGCCAAAACAUUGUCUCUGUCCACCAAGAAAAUCGCGCUGCUCCAAUGGCAACCUCUAGUGGAUAGGAUCACUACCAAGAUCACCUCUUGGACUGCCAAAACAUUGUCUUACUCUGGGAGAAUCCAACUGGUUCAAUCUGUUAUCUUUGGGGUCCAAGCUUACUGGGCACAACUGUUCAUAUUGCAUGUUAAAGUCCUGAAAAUGAUAGAAGGUAUUUGUAGGAGUUUCAUUUGGUCUGGGAUGAACACUGUAACUAAGAAAGCAUAUAUCUCUUGGNNNNNNNNNNNNNNNNNNNNNNNNNNNNNNNNNNNNNNNNNNNNNNNNNNNNNNNNNNNNNNNNNNNNNNNNNNNNNNNNNNNNNNNNNNNNNNNNNNNNNNNNNNNNNNNNNNNNNNNNNNNNNNNNNNNNNNNNNNNNNNNCCUGCUGGGACCUAGCUCAUAAAAAGGACAAGCUGUGGAUUAGGUGGAUCACUGUGUACUACAUCAAAGACAGACCUAUAGAAUCCAUUCCAAUUCCUUCUCAGGCAAGUUGGAUGGUUAGAAAGAUCAUCCAAUCAAGAGACAUACUAUAGAGGAUCCAACACUGGAAGGAACAUAGAUGCUCAACUAGACAGUUGUACCAGUCACAGAUGCAAGAUCUGCAGAGAGUCCCAUGGAAGAAUUUAAUCAUACAAAACUAUGCAAGGCCAAAGGCAACCUUCAAUCUGCAGAGAUGCUCAACUAGACAGUUGUACAGGUCACAGAUGCAAGAGUUGCCGAGAGUCCCAUGGAAGAAUUUAAUCAUACAAAACUAUGCAAGGCCAAAGGCAAUCUUCAACCUAUGGCUAUUCUUAUAGGACAGACUCCCAACAAAGGACAGAUUGCACAGCUGGGGAAUGAGUAUUGAUCAACAAUGCACCUUAUGCCAAAAUCACCCGGAAACUAGAGACCAUCUGCUAGUGUCCUGCCCUGUCACUAUGGACUUAUGGGAAAGAACAAUGAACUGGUUGCAGAAGAAUUAUCUUCCCACCAAUGAUUGGAACCAGAAAAUGCAGUGGUUAGUAAGCAAAGCCAAGGGUCGAACAUGUCGAGCAACCAUCUUCAACAUGGUAACUGCUGAGUUUGUAUAUACUAUCUGGCUGGAAAGGAAUUCAAGAAUCUUCAACAAGAUAUUUCGAUGUAACACAGCCCUUUUAAGAGACAUAGUGUAUAAUUGUAAUGUUAGAGGUACCCCACGAAUUAGACAGCAAUUACAAAUAUAGUAGUGUUAGUUAGUUAGGAUAGUAGAAACAAUUUAUAUGUUAUCCCACAGAUAGUCAGCUGAGUUGAAGCUAGACUAUGGUUUUGUAAUGUUACUUCAUUAGUGAUUAAUGAAAUGCCUUAAUUACCAAAAAAACUUUCGAACAUUGUAUUUCAAAUUAAAAAAUUGUCUUAAAUUCGGUUUCGAUACUGUAUUCUUAAUUACCAAAAAAUAAAUCAAUAUCAUAUAGUUGGAAUAGUGAAUAAUCAAUUAUGCAUCAUACUUAUAGAUACAGGAGCAUGUAUGUCCCAUAUCACAGCAGAUUUAGUAAAAGAAAUUUAUGAAGCAGAACAAGAGUUUAGGUAUAAAGACUUUUUAGGUCUAGAACAUAUACAUGAUAAAGCAUCAGAAAUCGAGAUUACUUUCAGUCAAGAUUUAAGUAUUAAGUUUGAAAUCUUAGUUGAUUUUCAAGAUAAAAGAAGAGAAGUUUUAUUAGGAAUAGAUUUCCUGAAAAUUUUUGAAUAUAUAAUUAAAAACGAAGAAAUAAUUUUAGAAAUAAAUCAUAAGCAAUUUAGAAUACCGAGAAUAAGGUUAAACCCUUAUCUCAUUAAAAAACAGAUACAAUAAUGGAAGAAGAAAGUAAAAUUAUUCAGUUAGAAGAUAAUCAAGGAAGAUAUAUUCAAGAUAUCCUUUUAGAUAAAAAAAAUAGUUAAUCAAGUUAAGAAUAAAGGAAAUUUAGAUAUAGUCGAAACAGAAGGAACGAAAAGUUCAAUAUUACAGAAAUUGUCUAGAAAAAAUAUAAUUUAUUAUGGAAUAAUGCAAGGAGAACAGCCUGUUAAUAUAGAACAAACUACGACUAAGUUUCAAGCACCGUUGAUAGACAUUUAUCAAAUAGGAAAUAGAUUAAUGGCUAUAAAAACCGAAGAACGAUUAAAGACUAAGUUCCAAGCACCAUUGAUAGACAUUAAUCAAAUAGGAAAAGAUUAAUGGCUAUAAAAAACGAAGAACGAUUAAAAAUAGGAUAUAUUCAUACAAACACUAUCAAGAUAAUAAUCAGAUCAACUUUCAGAGAAGGUAUUAAAACACCCGUUACACUAACAGUCGAAGAUAAUAGAAUUAUGGAUAAUCAGUAUAAAAAAUUAGGAGAAAUAGAAGGAGAUUUAGGAUACACAACAAUAAAGUUUUGUGUUACACUACAGUUUCCUAUACCACUAAGUACAAAGAAAAUAGAUAAUUGUUUAGGCAUAAUAUGUAAUUUUAAAGAAAAACAUUUCAUGGAAAAAGGUGAUAUUCCUUUGUAAUCUGUUACAUGAUAGCAUAUGCACUUAGUAAUUUUUGUUUAAGUUUAACUUACAAGAAUCAAGAUCAAAUAUAAACAGAUAAAUUAUUAAGUGAAACAAGUACACUAAUAAAAAGUGAUGAAAUAUCUAGAGAGUUUCUUAGAACUCAUAGUUCUAGAAAUUUACUAUUUAGAAUAGAACAAAGUAAUUUAUUACCAUGUUCUAGUCAAAAAAAUGAUAUAAAACAACCGACAAGUAAAAAGACUUUAUUUGAAGAAGAUAAUGAAAUAGAAAAAAUGAAUAGGCAAAUAACAGAGUUAAAUAAUAUUAUAGAAAGUUUAAAUAAAAAAAUAUAAUAUGGAAAGAUUAAUAAUAAAAAAUGUAGAUCUAAAACAUAGAAUUAAAGAUAAGAUGGAAAGAUUAAUAAUUUAAAAUAUAGAAUAAAAGAAUUAGAAAAAGAAAAUGAAGAGCAACAUGAUUUAAUAUUAGCAAAGGAUAAAGUAAUAAAAAAGCAAGAAGAAUUUGUAAUAACCUUGUUAAAAAGAAUAGAUAGUUUAAAAAGAGAAUUGAAUGGACAAGCAGAUCUAGAAAAUGAAUCGCCUAAUACAGUUUUAUAUUAAUCCACAAUAAGCAAACUAGUGCUUUAAAUCUAGCAAACUAGUGCUUUAAAUUUCUAGAACUAAAUGCGGGCUAGAUUUAAAGCACUAGUUUGUUUAUUGUGGAUUAAUAUAAAACUGUAUUAGGCGAUUCAUUUUCUAGAUCUGCUUGUCUAUUCAAUUCUCUUUUUAAACUAUCUAUUCUUUUUAACAAGGUUAUUACAAAUUCUUCUUGUUUUUUUAUUACUUUAUCCUUUGCUAAUAUUAAAUCAUGCUGCUCUUCAUUUUCUUUUUCUAAUUCUUUUAUUCUAUGUUUUAAAUUAUUAAUCUUUCCAUCUUACAUCUUUUUAUUUAAACUUUCUACAAUAUUAUUUAAUUCUGUUAUUUGCUUAUUCAUUUUUUCUAUUUCAUUAUCUUCUUCAAAUAAAGUCUUUUUACUUGUCGGUUGUUUUAUAUCAUUUUUUUGGCUAGAACAUGGUAAUAAAUUACUUUGUUCUAUUCUAAAUAGUAAAUUUCUAGAACUAUGAGUUCUAAGAAACUCUCUAGAUAUUUCAUCACUUUUUAUUAGUGUACUUGUUUCACUAAAUAAUUUAUCAGUGUAUAUUUGAUCUUGAUUCUUGUAAGUUAAACUUAAACAAGAAUUACUAAGUGCAUAUGCUAUCCUGUAGCAGAUUACUAGAGGAAUAUCACCUUUUUCCAUUGAACUUUUUUCUUUAAAAUUACAUAUUGUGCCUAAACAAUUAUCUAUUUUCUUUGUACUUAGUAGUAUAGGAAACUGUAGUGUAACACAAAACUUUAUUGUUGUGUAUCCUAAAUUUUUAUACUGAUUAUCCAUAAUUCUAUUAUCUUCGACUGUUAGUGUAACAGGUGUUUUAAUACCUUCUAAUUAUCUGGAUAGUGUUCAUAUGAAUAUAUCCUAUUUUUAAUCGUUCUUCGUCUUUUAUAGCAAUUAAUCUUUUUCCUAUUUGAUUAAUGUCUAUCAAUGGUGCUUGGAACUUAGUUGUAGGUUGUUCUAUAUUAACAGGCUGUUCUCCUUGCAUUAUUCCGUAAUAAAUUAUAUUUUUUCUAGACAAUUUCUGUAAUAUUGAACUUUUCGUUCCUUCUGUUUCGACUAUAUCUAAAUUUCCUUUAUUCUUAACUUGAUUAACUAUUUUUUUUAUCUAAAAGGAUAUCUUGAAUAUAUCUUCCUUGAUUAUCUUCUAACUGAAUAAUUUUACUUUCUUCUUCCAUUAUUGUAUCUGUUUUUUAAUGAGAUAAGGGUUUAACCUUAUUCUCGGUAUUCUAAAUUGCUUAUGAUUUAUUUCUUCCUUUUUAAUUAUAUAUUCAAAAUUUUCCUGGAAAUCUAUUCCUAAUAAUACUUCUCUUGUUUUAUCUUGAAAAUCAACUAAGAUUUCAAACUUAAAUCUUGACUGAAAAUAAUCUCGAUUUCUGAUGCUUUAUCCUGUAUGUGUUCUAGACCUAAAAAGUCUUUAUACCUAAACUCUUGUUCUGCUUCAUAAACUUCUUUUACUAAAUUUGCUGUGAUAUGGGACAUACAUGCUCCUGUAUCUAUAAGUAUGAUGCAUAAUUGAUUAUUUACUAUUCCAACUAUAUGAUAUUGAUUAUCAUUAUAUGUUUGUUUUAUUUCUAAAAUCAUUUUAAUAAAUUUUUAUGAGGUUGUGAAACUAGAAAGAGUAACAGUAUUUUACAGAGAGAUAUACCUGAGUUUUUCUGAUAUCAACACAAGUCCGAAUAACGAGCUACAACAUCCCUUGCAAAACGCCCUUUUCUACAUACCUCUAGUGCUCCAGAUAUACUUCUGAAAAACUUACUAUAAUCUCUUUGUUUUUCUGUUUCCUCUCUAGCUUCACUCAAAAAACUUAGCUACUCAUAUGAACUGAAUAAUACUUUUAUUACCGAAUAUUUUUACAACAUUUCAAGGACUGAUUUUUGGCUUAUGUCUACUCUUAUGUUCGUCUGUCCUUAAAAUGAAAUUGUCCCUCUCCUUAUAUAGAUGAAGUGGAAUGAUACAGAAAAGAAAUAAGUGAUUGUUGCUACCCAACAAGUCACAUCUACUUUUACAUUAUUGAGGGCAUAGGGUCCCUCCUUAUCUCUUUGUGGCUACAUUAUUGUUGUGGUCCUGGACAGCUGGUGAUUUCUUCAACAGAUAAUCUGUGACGUAAGUGCCUGCGUCUUUAUUUUUGUUGUUUUAUCUGAGUGCUAAUAACUUUCAACUACUGUUGUAAUAUCUCCUUCCUUGGUGCAGAUGGUACAUGCAUGAUCUUCUGCAUAUGUUGUAGUUAAUCUCUCGCAUAUUGCCGCUUUUGUAUCUUGACUAAAAUCAAACUGAUUUUUAAUUAAACGUUCCAUAAACUGACUGAGCAUCUUUGUAUCUAUUUCACUUGCUGGCUUGGAUUGUUGACUCCAUAUGAUAACUGAUUUUGCUGCAUAAUUUAUUCUUCCCUUUAUCUUAAUACUUCGAUCAAGUAGUAAAGUAUAAUUGUUAAGGAGUUGUUCUAACGGUUCUGUUUCUUCAAUUGUCCCUGUGUACAUGUCUGGAUAAUGUUGAUUACUGAUUCCAAUUUGACAUAUCUGUAUUGAACUUUGUAUUUACCUCCCCCGCUGCUGAAAAUUGAGGAGCCCGUGGUCGAGGUUAGGCUAGUGAAUGAUAGGUUAAUGUCUAUUAAGUUGGUUAUUGGGGGUUGCGUCCUCAACGUCAUAAGUGCUUCCGCACCACAAAUGGGCUUAGAUGAGGAGGUUAAGAGGCACUUUCGGGAGGUCUUGGAUGAUUUGGUGAGUAUUAUUCCCCAAUCUGAGAAGUUAGUUAUUAGAGGGGAUUUUAAUGGUCAUAUUGGGGUUGAUGCUGGUGGUUAUGGUGAGGUGCUCGGUCGCUUUGGCCUUGGGGUUAGGAACGGAGGAAGCACAUCGCUGCUUGAUUUCGCCAGGGCUUCUGAGCUUCUGAUUACUUCGGCUUUGGGGUUAGGAACGGAGGAGGCACGUCACUGCUUGCCUUUGAUAUAUACUUGGUGCCUGCUUUAAACCAAAAGGUAAAACAUUAAAUUCAUACUGGUUUUGUGGUAGACGACUAAAUGCUGUUAGUGGCUUAGUGUCUUCAUGUAAUCUUAAUUGAUAGUAACCGGAUUUUGCAUCCAGGGUUGAAAACCAAUUAUUUUUUUUAAUUUUUGUGAAUAUAUAAUCUUGUCUUGAUAAUUUAUAUGCAUCACCUUUAGUUGCUGCAUUCAUUUUUUUAUAAUUUAUAACCAUUCUUCUACGUCCCCUUUUAAUCUCAUUGUGAUUUUCGACGUAAAAAGCUGGUGCACUAUGUGGACUGUGACUUGAUCUUAUUAUUCCUUUUUCUAGCAUUUGUUUAGUUUCUUUAGCAAACUCUUCUACAUCUCUUUCUGUGUAUGGAAUAUUGUUUGGUACAUUAACUUCUUUAUUAGGAUCUAUUAAUUCAAUCCUAACUUCCAUACUAUUUGUAUUCUUUUCAGGGUCGAGUGCAUCUUGACUACAAACCUUAUCUAACAAGUUAAAAACUUGUUGUUCUAACUUUUCUUCGAGAAGUGUAUAGAUUCUUUUUAUAAUCUCUCCCUUUACAAAAGAUUGUGUAUUAUAUAUCUUGGUUGUAACUAAAUGUGAUUUCUUCAACAUGUAGUGAUCUGUGACGUAAGUGCCUGCGUGGUGUGGUAUCUAGUUGUUUACAACAUCCUAUGUUGACUCUCUGAAUAUGACCUUGUUCUAUUUUCUUAAUACAAAGGUUUUCUCUAUAUUCUUUACUUAAUUUUUCUAAUACUCCUAAAGUUUUUUCUUGGGUUCCUAUUUUUUCUUCAAUGUAUUUAACCAUUUCAUAAGAUAACUUGCUUUCUACUAUUUCUGUUAAUCACUGACGGUUUCUUGUUUUAUAGAAAUUUUAUCUUACUUGACAGAAAAAGUUUUCUAUAUAACAUGGGUUGCAUAACUUCAUAUUUGACAAUAUUCUAACUAUUUGUUCUCGUUUAUCUUAUAUAUUUUCUAUCUCUGUAAUUCCUAAGAAUUCUUUAAAUAUUUCUUUAGCCGCUGUAUCUAAUACAAACAGCUUUGAUUCUAUUGACACUUCAGUUUGUGCAUAAGGAAGAUUUACAUCAAUAGUAGUUGUUUCUAACCAAUCAAAUAUUAUACCAGUAGAUAUAUUUGAUAUAAUUACCAAAAUCUGCAACUGUUAAAUUAGUAAUUGUUUCAUCCUUAGUUUGUACUAAUAAUUUUAAUUGAUUAAUCCAUGCCAAUAUUAACUGUUCUGUAUUUUCCGUACAAUUGAUAUUUAAGAUACCAUUUGUUAUAUUUCUUUCUUUCUCUAAUAAUCGUCUAUGAUGGCAGAGGUCAAAAAUCCACUGAUGGUGCAAAGAAUCUUUACAUUCACUUUGAUAAUUUACCUUUUAGAAUUAGCUAAUGUGAUCCCAGUAACUAAUGUGAACCCUCUUUACUCUAUUGAAGAUUUGGCCCGGUAAAUCUCUUCUGGAGCAACACGAUAUGACAAAGCAAUGACAUUGUUCUUGACCUGCCUAAAGGAGUUUGCCGACUUUGCAAAUUCAAAAGAUAGGGAGAACAAUAUUCGUCCUGACAAAUGUUUUAAGCUUCCUAACAAGUAAGCCUCUGCAUAUUCAAGAAGCGUGAUUCCAUAGAAGCUUCAAUCUUUUAGCAAAAUGUUCUAUUGUAAAUCUCGGAUUUACGUUUCUCAGAUACAUUGCUAUUGUGUAAUUGGUAGUCAGAAUUUCUGCAAAGAAGAGUUUGGUAUAUUUUGUUUUUAUGAUAAGGUUGCUUGCUUAUUUCCACCAUUUUAUCCCUGAAAGAAGGAGCUUGAAGUUCGAGCAAUGACAUCAACUUAGAUCAGUUGAAAUAAUUACAUAAGUUUCUUUGCUUUUCCCUUUUCUGUUUUAGGUUGGUAAUGUAAAGGGGUCGGUGACUUGGGAUGGUCAUUCAUAUGAGUUUGUAAUAUGUCUUAGACAACUGCGUGCACCGGCGGGACAUAAGGGAGAGUUGGACAAAUUCCAACAUGGAAGGAGCUAAACCUGAUGCUUUUGCGAAGUACUUUUAUGAGUGCUGUUAGUUUGUAAUUUGUAUUACACCAAUUUAUCUUGAUCUUCGAACUACUGCUUUGAAGUGAAUGUUGAGCUUUUUAUAUGGCAUAUGUUAGGAUGUACAUAAUGGAGGCCCAGUAGCGGACCCAAGUGGUGGCUAGCGGGUUCAAUUGAACCCGCUUCACCAAAAAAUAAUACUGUGUAGAUGUAUAAAUUAGGAUUAAAGCUGUGUAAAUUUUGUAUAAAUAUUUAUUUGAACCCACUUGACAACUACUAUUUUACGACCUACUAUUUUACGACUAAAGUUAUAUACUUCUAAGAUUGAAUCCGCUUGUACAAAAUUCUGGGUCCGCCACUGUAGAUGCCACAAAUGGACCAUAGGUUACUUGACUCGUUGUUAGAUAUAGAAUUGGCAUUCUCCAACAAAGUUUUGGUCUGAUAUAUUACAACCUGAGUGCUGUAACAACAACAACAACAACUACUACCAGUAUAGUCCCACAAAAUGGGGUCUGGGGAGGAUAAUAUGUAGACGAGCCUUACCCCUACCCGAAAGGGCAGAGAGGCUANNNNNNNNNNNNNNNNNNNNNNNNNNNNNNNNNNNNNNNNNNNNNNNNNNNNNNNNNNNNNNNNNNNNNNNNNNNNNNNNNNNNNNNNNNNNNNNNNNNNNNNNNNNNNNNAAACACAAAAACAAAAACAANNNNNNNNNNNNNNNNNNNNNNNNNNNNNNNNNNNNNNNNNNNNNNNNNNNNNNNNNNNNNNNNNNNNNNNNNNNNNNNNNNNNNNNNNNNNNNNNNNNNNNNNNNNNNNNNNNNNNNNNNNNNNNNNNNNNNNNNNNNNNNNNNNNNNNNNNNNNNNNNNNNNNNNNNNNNNNNNNNNNNNNNNNNNNNNNNNNNNNNNNNNNNNNNNNNNNNNNNNNACUAACUCCAGCAGAAAUAGCGUAAAUUAUUAUCUAAACAUAAGAACCAUAAAUAAAAUAGCAUGCAAUAAUAUCAUACAGUAACUACCAUAAAUAACCUGAGUGCUGUAACUGUUGCUUAAUUAUCUAUGGGUUUCUUGCAGGAUUGACAAUGACAAAGUUGAAAGUUACUCCAUUACUCAGAGCUUCAAUAAGCAGGAAAACUGGACCAAAGCUCUCAAGUACACACUCUGCAAUUUGAAGUGGGUGCUCUACUGGUUUGUUGGAAACACAAAUUUCCAGCCACUUUCUGCAACCGUCUCUUCACAAGCUGAAGUUCCAGCUGCAGGAUCACUAUACAGCAAACAACCACUUUCUGCAACCGUCUCUUCAGUCUGAUGUUACUAAUAUAUUGUACCUUCCCUUCUCUUCUCGUGUUUUCCAUCUUCUUGAGCUGAGGGUCUCCCUGAAAUAGUCUCUCUACUCCUUGGGAUAGGGGUAAGUUUUGCGUACACACUACCCUCCACAGACCUCACUUGUGGAAUUUCACUGGGCUUCUUGUUGUUGAUAAAACUUUCAACUAUGCUUACCAUGCAUUUUAAGAAUGUCUUAUAUUACAAAUAGAACUAAAGCUUGAAAAGUUGAACUUUUUAGAUUUCAAUUCUAUGGCAAUACUAGUAGUUUGGAUAUACAUUAAGAAGGGGAGCCUUGGCGUAACUGGUAAAGUUGCUGUCAUGUGACAAAGAGGUUAUUGGUUCGAACCACUGAAAUAGCUUCUUGCACAAAUACAAGGUAAGAGAAUCUUAGGGCACCGGAUUGCCCUUUUUGGAGUAUACAUUAAGAAGGGGAGCCUUGGCGUUUUUUGCAGAAAUACAAGGUAAGAAUACAUACAAUAGACCUUUGCGAUCCGGCCUUUCCUCGGACCCCACGCAUAACAGAAGCUUAGUGCACCGGAUUGCCCUUUUUGGAGUAUACACUAACUGGGGAGCCUUGGCGUAACUGUGAAGUUGCUGCCAUGUGACCAGGAGGUCACUGGUUCGAGCAACGGAAACAGCCUCGUGUAGGAAUACAAGGUAAGACUGCGUACAAUAGACCCCUGUGAUCCGGCCUUUUCCCGAACCCCGCGCACCUGGUUGCUCUUUGUCGAGUAUACGUUAGAUAUAAUUUUCUUGAAAACUUGAACUUGUUGAAUUUGCUAGUAUAUAUUUGCAUAAUUCUUAUCAUUCCUGUAGCUACUAAAGCUUGAGCAUGAGUUAUUUCCAUUUCUCUACUUUACAUGUUCAGGUUUACUUUUUCCAGAACAGAAUCAAAGAGUCAUAUCUACGCCUUUCGAUCAGUUAGAGAUCUCAAACAGAAGGGCAUAUUCUUUCGGUCGAGUAGCAUAAAUUCUAUCCAUGGAAUCAAAUUCAAAUCCUACAAGUUGUUUGGAAAACUCGAUCUUCCUAAGGAACAGAUGAACAUCUAUAGCAAGGUAAUCAAUUCAAACAUGAUAGCUUAUGAGAUGAGUCCAAACACGAAUACUCGAUAUGAGGUGUCAUCUUAUGUGAAUUUUAUGAAGUCACUGAUAGUAUGUUCAGAGGAUGCCAAAGAACUACGAGAGAAAGGAGUAAUCUGCAACCACUUGGGAACAGAUGAAGAAGCAGCCAAACUGUUCCAAGAUAUUACUAAUGACGUGUUCUCUCAUGGCGGUGCUCUUGUUGAUAUUAUAAAAGAUAUUCAGACCCACGUUAGCAGCAAAGCUAAAACAUCGAUGGCAAAGUGCUACCGGACUUAUUUUAGCACUCCAUGGUCAAUUAUCUCAUUACUUAUAGCUGGUGCGCUUCUUUGCUUAACUAUUAUGCAAACUCAUUAUACUAUGUAUCCUAUGAAUUAAACAGAUGCCGCCGUGUGUAAACACCUAAUUUAUGUUCCUUCUCUUUUUGUCUGGUCAUUCCUAAAUAAAUGUUUUGUUUCAUUUUAGACCUUAUUUUCUUUUGAUUUGUCUUAUUUUUAAGGCGAAACAUAGAUAGAUACGCUUAAAGUUGGCAUUCAAAUCCAGUUAGACGUCACCUUAACUAUGCCAAUAACCAAAUGGACACCUCUACUUGGCACAAGUGUGUCUCGUCGAUACCCCAGGUCCAGCAGAACUCACACAAAUAGACACCUUUUGACAUGUUUAUUCAGCUCCAAGUACUAUAUUCUGAGUUUGUAACUUUUGGUUGAUUUGCCCAAGUAGACUUAAGAAUUCAAGUUUAAGUGGCUAAAGUAAUAAGAAUUCAAAAAAACCUUAGUUCAAAACAGAAUUGUAUGCAUGCUUCUAUAUACAAGAAUCUUAAUUAAUCAAGGUACAUAGCAUACGAACUACGCAAGGAGUUAAAAAGGUAGCCUGGUGCACUAAGCUCCCGCUAUGUGGGGUUCGGGAAAGGAUCGGACUAUAGGGGUUUAUUGUAUGCAACCUUACCAUGCAUUUCUGCAAGAGGCUGUUUCCAUAGUUCGAACUCGUGACCUCCUGGUCACAUGAAGCAACUUUAUCUGGUAUGCCAAGGAUCUCCUUUCACCAGGUACUACUCAAGGAGUUUCUUUACAGAAAAAAAAAACAAAACCUCGAUCAACGUGUCAUGGAUGAACAUCUUCCAGCAUUUCUAGUGUAUUAGCUCCCCAACUCAUGAAUGAUUUUCCUCACUGAAAUUUGGUUCAGCUGGUUUCUGAAGCAGUAGAGGUAAUGUUGGAGACAAUUUACCACCAGUUGUAUGGUUGCGUCGCAAGGCGUGCAGUGCAUUAGCAGCAAACCGUGAUGCAUAAAUUGUUGCUCCAAGGCUUGGUGCAUUUGUGCUCUCUUUUGCUAAUGCAGCCUGCAAUCUAUCUUCUUCCUCUCUUAAAGAUUUCUCAAGCUUGUUCCUGCAGUGUCGACGCCAUGCUACUUGUAUAAAGCAUACACCCCAUGUCCUCCAUUGCUGUGAGUAAAACCUAAAAUAACCAAAGUAUAUAAGUGUUAAUGGCUUCCUGUAAAACUUAUACACGAGUAACUUAUGUCUGGUUAAUUUCACAGGUGAUCACUAACUUUCAACUUAGCGUAUAAAAGUCAUAAAUUUGACUUUUUAGUAGAACAAUAGCUUAGAUAAAAUGUAUACCAAAACAAAUGCUAUAUUUAGUCGCGAGAAACUCAAGUAGGCUUAUAGUUAUGUUAGCAACUCAUGUUACAUACUAUCUACGAAGUACCAGUUAAAAAAAAGCUCAUUUUCCUGAUCCAACCUAAUAUAUAUUAUGUCUUUCGUUGUGUGGCAUAUUGUGGUUUUUAUUUUUUGUUUUUUAGUUGGUCGGAAAACAAGCUAUUAUUUUGUUAAGUGGCGCCACAUGGAUGUUAUGUAAGUAAGUUGUUGAAGUGACAACUUGUGUUUUCAACCAGAUUUAGCAUUUUCUAGCCUUUUUCCUUAAUUUUCUGUCGGAUAAAGGCAUAAUUGAGUUAUUUCUCUUACAAAAUUAGUUUUCUGACUUUGCUACAAUAAGCUAAAAGUUAGAUGACCAUACAUGAAUUAACCACCAAAACUUAUACCAGUAACUUAUGCAUCAUGCUUUUGAAGCAUGUUUAUUUGCUGGUGUUUUUGCUUGCUGUUAUUCUUUUCUGUCUAUCUUUUUUGAUCCGAGGGUCUUCAUAAAACAGCCCCUCUACCUUCUGCAGGUAAAGGUAAAGUCUGCGUACAUUUUGCCCUCCCCUAACCUCAAAAGUGGGAUUAAAUAGGGGGGUCGUUGUUGUUGUUGUUGUAUUAAGCAAACAAAGCAGGAUUGAAGCAUGUUAUGAAAUGGAACAAGGCUUAAACAACAUACCUGAAACUAUGUUGAAGCUGUUUGCUAUGAAGACGUCGAAACUGUGAGGCAACAAACUUGAGAUCAUCAGCAGUGAGGGCAAAAGCUUCUAUAUCGGUUUCAGCUUGAACUGUUCUUGUUGAAAUAGGAAGACUAGAGGAAGUGUGAGGAUCUAAAGCCCAAGUAAGAAGCUCCUCUCCACAGAAAUCACCAGCUUUGAGUGAUACAGAGUUGAAAAAACCAGUUCUUCCAACAUUUGUCGUCAUUGUUAAUAGAGUACCUCUCAUUAGAAAAAGCAUCUCGUCUCCGGGAUCGCCUUCUCGGAUUAUGAAACUCUUCUCUGUGUAGAGUGCUGGUUUAAGUCGAUCACACAUUGCAUCUAGUAAUUGUUCGUCCAUUUUAUCGAAUAUUGGAACCUGCAUUACCAAAUCAAUGCAAAAUUUAGAGGAAAAACAAAGAACAAACUUCUUGUUUUUAUAUAUUACAAGACUUGUUGUGGUCGGAGGGGAGCCUUAGAACACGGUAAAGUUGUCUCCGUGUGACCUAUGAGUCAUAAGUUCGAGUUGUGGAAGCAGCCACCAAUGCUUGCAUUUGAGUAAGCUGUCUAUAUCACAUACCUUAGGGCGCGACCCUUCCCUGGACCCUGUGUGAACGCGGGAUGCCUUGUACACCGGGCUAUCUUUUAAGACUUAUUGUGGUCAAAGGGGUAAAGUUGUCUCCGUGUGACCUAUAGGUCACGGGUUUGAGUUGUGGAAGCAACCACUAAUGCUUGCAUUAGGGUAGACUUUCUAUAUCACACCCCUUGGAGUGCAGCCCUUCCCGGAUCCUGCAUGAACGCGGGAUGCCUUACGCGCCGGGCUGCCUUUUUAAGACUUGCUGUGAUUCCUUACGAGUUUGAGCUUGAUGUAUAGUUGAUUGAUACUCUUUUUUUUUUUUAGUAUGUUCCAAAAGAAGGACGGAACAUUUUUAUGUUUAGAACUCUUUUAACUUGGAAACUUUCCAUUUUUACCUUGAUGAUAUACUCUUAUGACAAUAGAACAGUCAUGGCGUAUAUUUAAGGCUACAAAUUCUAAGGGUACUUGUGAUAUGUAGCAAUAGUAUGUUAUUUUGUUGUUAGAAACAACAGAAAUAGCUAUGAAAAAUGAAGUAAAGUUGGAGAAGCAAAAUUUAAAUUUAAAUGUGGAUAUAUAGUUACUCUUUUGACCAAAGACCAACAGAGAUGACGCUUUAAAUCUCGUCUCAAAUCUCUAGGAAGAGUAAAUCUUCCUCAACACCUCUGGUUUCUUGCCAUUUGUAUUGUUCAUGUCGUCUAAUACGCACUUUCAGAUUAUCAGGAAGCAUCCGAUGAGACAUCCAUUGCUCUGCGUCCCGCCUUCUCACUCUCAUCUCUUCUACUCUUACCGUCAUAGAUUGCAAAUAUUUCUGUAUCAAACAACAAACGCGACUUCAAAUUUGUUCUAAAAUAUCAAAGCUCUCAUCUCUAAAUAGUUUGAGGAAUGGCACUAGGGAGUAAAGCUGUGUGACAUAUUUCACAACAUUAUGUGGUUCGCCACAAAUAGUCGUCAGUGAAAAGGUGAAUACAUAUAUAGAUUUUUAUAGGUCGAUUUUCGGGAAGGCGACAUAUAUCACAACAUUUUGUGGCUACUAGUUUGGUUGCCACACAGGGCAUAGAGAUGCUCUUUAGAGAUUAGCUGGUAUUUAUUUUGUCCCGAAACUUUAAACUAAAAUUUUUAACUUCAGAGCAAUUCAGAACAAAAAUGUCUAGAAAAAUUGAACUGAAAAAUUGAAUUCAGGUAAUACUGACUAAUUCCUAAAUAGCAACCCUCUAAAGUGGCUACCCAGUGUCAUUUCUAUGCAAUAGAAAGUUGCCUGAAAAGUGAUUAUUUGAUUUUUCGGAGGUUAAAAGUACAUAUAUGUGGCAACUAAAUUCCUAGGUCGCCGCUUAGAAAAGCGACAUAUAUUACAGUAUUUAGUGGAGGCUAGAUUUGUCGCCACAAAAAGUCGCCACUGAAAAUCUUAUUUCAUGAGGUGUGAGAAUUUGAAAAUAAGAGUAGUUGAGCACAGAUUUGUUUUAAAUGAUAAUGCAUAACAAAAUAAAUGGUCAUAUGUAAUUCAAAAUUCUAACCUGCAUAUUGCCAAUAAGCAAGGAAAACAAGAUUAGCCCAAUAAUUGAAAUGAAGAUAGCAAAGAGAAUCUCCCCAACAAAUGUGCUUGUCUUAAGGUUUUGGCCAAGAGAACUGAAAUAUAAAACAAGACAUUUUCUUAAACACAAGAAAACUCAAAAUGUCAUUAAACAUUGCAUAAGCAAAACUAACGCCAAAUGCAUGUACAAUCAGACCUCUAUAACAACAUCCCUAUAUAAUAAUAUUUUACUAUAAAAGUCAAGCUUUUUCCGGAAUCAAUUUUCAUGUUAUAUUAUAAUAUAUGUUCUUUAUAACAGCACUUCGCUAUAAUAUCCAAAAAUAUUCGGAACAAACAAAGCUGUUAUAGAGAGGUUUGACAGUAUAUGAAAAUAAGUAAAGGAAACAGACCUUAAGUUUCUCAGUCCCCACCAAAAGCAAUAGAAGAGUUUGGACCAGAAUAUUUGCUUUUCUACUAUCCGAAACUGAAGAGCAUCAAGAAAUAUACCAAAAUCAAAGUCAUUUGGAUCUUUUAUAUCUUCUGAUUUCAGGAGAGGACAUGAAGAAUUUAGAAGCAAAGCGUUUCCGUUUCUGUUUCCUCCACAGUAUAAGUAGUCUGAAGAACAUGAGUCAAUCUUCUUACAUGCGUCGCGCCAACAUGUAUCUUGGCGUUCUACUGAGAUCAAAUACCAGAAGGCUCCGACCACCUGAGAUAACAGAUAUGCUCCUAUUAAAACGAACUUUAGUUCAAGAUGAAAUCUUAUGAAACUGUCAAUCCAGUUCAUCCUUCAGAACCAUAUCACAUUCACGUUCUGAUGAAAUAUAACUUAUAUGCUUUGACAAUGUAGAUAAUAUUUAUACUAUCAGUGUAACUUAACGCGUUGUACAGUUAGACUUUUUUAUAAAAGCAGCUCUAUAUAACAACCAUUCACUAUAAAAGCCAAGUUUUUCUCGGAACAGAUUAUUAUAUUAUGUUAUAGAGUAUGACAAGAGUGGUUGCUCUGAUGGUAAGCAACCCCCACUUCCAACCGAGAGGUUGUGAGUUNNNNNNNNNNNNNNNNNNNNNNNNNNNNNNNNNNNNNNNNNNNNNNNNNNNNNNNNNNNNNNNNNNNNNNNNNNNNNNNNNNNNNNNNNNNNNNNNNNNNNNNNNNNNNNNNNNNNNNNNNAUUGGGGGUCUAUUUGGAAACAGCCUCUCUACCCAAGGGUAGGGGUAAGGUCUGCGUACACACUACCCUCUCCAUACCCCACUAAGUGGAAUUAUACUGGGUUGUUGUUGUUAUAGAGUAUGUCGUCUAUAACAACACUUCACUCUACCAGCCAAAAAUUAUCAAAACAAACGAAGUUGUUAUAGAUAUGUUUGACUGUAUUAGGUUAUUGGAGGUUAUUAAUUCCACUUAUUACGGAUAGUUACAUGUAACUAACUAUUUCUUAUGCGAUGUUAAAUACUCGAUUAGACGAUAGGUUGAAGAGUAACUUACAUUACUGGCUAACAUGUAGAGGAAAAGGUUGAAAGCAGCUCCACCCCAUGCUGUUUCUGUAAAUAAGCCUGCAGUUCUUGUUACUUCUUUGUACAAUGGAUAAAUUCUAAAUAUUCUUGGAACGUAUUGGACAAAAAUGACAAUCUUCAAUAUUUCUUUCGUCGUCAGAGAAAUCGGGCUAUUCACACUUGGACUGAUAAUCAAUAUCACAAUCUGCAACAAUAUAAGAUUAACUUGUUAAUAUCAGGGCAGCAGCAUGGUACACUAAGCUCCUGCUAUGUUCGGGGUCCGAGGAAGAGCCGGACCACAAGGAUCUAUUGUACGCAACCUUAUCUUGCAUUUCUGCAAGAGGCUAUUUCACGGCUCGAACUCAUGACCUCCUGUUCACAUGGCAUUAAUUUUAUCAGUAUGAUAUUAAGAGAAUGUUAAGAAUACAAGAUUUUGAGGACACAAACCUGUGGAAGUGGAAGGACUGCUAAAAUAUCAACAAUGAAAUAAGAUUUCAAAUAUCUCUUGGCUAUAGCAGAGGAAUCUUCAAUCAAUUCACCCCUUCCAAAUACUCGAGAAGAAGGAGCGAUAAAGCCAGUACGAAAUUGCAAGAAAAUAUGAAAGAUAUAGAACAGAUCAGUGAUCGAACGUAGAACAUAAGCAGUGAUCUUUAACGUCGUGUCCAAAUCAAGGCACUUGUUUUUGUUAUCAAUGACAGGUAUAUAGAAGAAUAGUGGAUCCAAUGACACUGCAAUUGUACAAAUCAAUACAAAUAUUUUGUUCCAUUGCUGAAGAAAUCGCCCCUGAGGAUCAAGAAUUUGUUUCUUUGAUAAGAUAGAUUGAUCUUUUGUUGGUUUAUCGGUUAGAGGAUGGACGCGUAUUGAUUUUCUCCAGCUACUAAUUCUUUCAGAACCACUCUCAAAUCUUCUUCUAAUGUUACUCAUCAACAAACUAAAUGAUGGUUUUCUGAUAUGAAAUGGCUUCUUAUUUGGAGAAUCUUGAUGCUCAACGUUGAAGGAUGACUGUUCUGACUUCCAGUCCUCGAACCUAUAAAAUUUAAAGCAGGAAAAAUUUGAUGCUCAGAGUUGAAGGAUGACUGUUCUAACUUCCAGUCCUCAAACCUAUAAAAUUUAAAGCAGGAAAAAUAUUAAUGAAAUAUUGGGAGAGCCAUUGGGAAAUGUAACAUUUACAACUAAAAAUGACAGUUCGACGCACUAAGCUCUGGUAAUACGCAACUCUUUAAAAGGAUUAGACUGGUUUCAUUGCAUACCUAUAGGCCACGAGCAAUGGCGGAGGCAGGAUCUUUACGAAAGGGGUUCAAAAACAAAAAUUAUAGCUUUAGAAUUGAACCUAUGACCUUAGGAAGGUUUUGAACCCCCUUGAACACUAAACUACACGUUUGGAUUGUGUUAAGGGGGUUCAAAACUUAAUAUAUAGAGGUAAAAAAUAGAUUUUGCCUUAUAUAUACAGUGUAAUUUUACGAUGACGCCCCUGGUCACGAGUUUGAGCAGCGGAAGCAACCACUAAUGCUUGCAUUAGGGUAAGCUGUCUAUAUCAGAUGUGCAAUCCUUCCCCGUACCCUACGUGAACGUGGGGUGUCUUCUGCACCGGGCUGCCCUGUCCAAACAUGUGACCUAUUAGUCACAGGGCGAUCAGUCUUGCCGUUGCGCCAAGACUCUCCUUCAUAGUUUAUUAACAAGCCAAAAAACAAAAGUAAACAUAAAAUUAUUGCACAUUACUUGUAUAGGAGACUGAUUGAACUAACCUUACAUAUUUAUCUUGCUUGAGAUUCAUCAUUUCAGCUUCAGGCCUAUAUUGAUGCUCAGAAUUUCAGCUUCUUUGUUCUAACAAAAUAGUCAACAAGAACUUCUUCCUCCCUUUCUCUCUAUUCUCCUAGAAUAAAGCUCAUUCUUUACUGCAAGAUAAUAAGAAUUAGAUUACAUUAACAACAAAACCAAUACUUCAUGACAUAAAAAGAAAGAACAAAGUUCAAAUGAGACUUGAUCAAUGUCAAAGUCAAUAGUCUUUAGCGGCUAGUUCACCUGAACCUAGUAAUUUCAACGCGAAGCAUAGAUAUAUCUAUAUACCUAUGUAAAAAUCCACUAAAAGUUUACACAGUAAGUUCACUACUGAAAACCUUAAAAGUCGAACUCAUCAAGUUUACAAUUCAAUCUUUUCUACCAUAAAAUCAAGAAGCCAUCGCGUUUCAUGCAACAUGAACUUGUGAUUUCAGAACUGAUAUUAAAGAAGUAAAACCAAAACUAGAUAAAUAUAUCAAACAGACAGAUUAAAUAAACAAACAACCAUAGUUUUUGCAUAGUCCAACUGUCAUGAAACUGGAAUUCAGAGAAACUUACACUGGCAGAAAAGAGAGAUUGAAGAGAAAAUUAAAGUUACCAUUUUAGAACAAGUAUACAUAAGGGUGUGUUUUAUUUGUUUGAGAAAGUUCCUGGAGAUUACCAUGUUAAUGAAAGGAAGACUUGGUCCUUUUUCCAUACGAACACAAAAAUAAGUAUAGGAAGACUUGGGAGGAGAGAAUAGUCAUAAGUCAACAAAGAGCUACGACAAAAGUAUUUAUUAUUUCUUUCUAAAGAAAUUUCCCUGCAUGCAUGGUUGGUGGGUGCCAUGAAAACUAUAGACCAACUUUUCUCAUUAUUGAAUAUAAAUUUACGGUAAGACCUGUUUGUAACAGUAUUUCUAUAUAAUACUCAUCCAUUAUUAACUAUUCUCAUUAUUAGAUAUAUGUUUAUUUUCUAAGUUUCUUUAAUUGAAAUUUGAAAAAUAUGAUUUAUGAAUCAAUGGAGCCUUGACGUAACUGGUAAAAUUUGUUGCCAUGUCACCAGGAGUUUACGGAUUCGAGAUGUGAAAAUAAACUAUUUUAGAAAUUUUAAAAAUACAAGGUAUGACUACGUAAAUAAAUCCUUGUGGUCCACCCUCCUCCAUGCCCUCGCAGUACAAUAGACACUUUAUGGUUUAAUAUUGAAAGAGGCUAUAUCAAAUCACCGGAUUAAAACUAGGGAAAAGGUCCAAAUUUGUCCUUAAAAUUUAUGAACUAAUCAAAUUUGCCUUCACAUUAAAUAGUAGAAAUAGCGUGGGAUAACCACUUUUUAAAAUGGUAUUUAGUUUUUAUCCAAUAUUUUUAAUGCUGAGCAAAAAUAACUACUACUCUAUUAAAAUUAAUACGAAAAACUAUUUUUACCCUUUUUUCAUGGGCGCUGUGUAAAUAUUAAGGACAUGGUCCUUAACAUUUACAUUGCACACAUAAAGUUAAGGACGCCAUAUCCUUAACUUUUACUGCACAUAUGAAGUUAAGGACACGACAAUACACUUUAUCCUUAAUAUUUACACAACAUUCAUGAAGUUAGGACACCAUAUCCUUAAUAUUUACACAAUACUCAUAAAGCUAAGGACACUAUGUCAUUUACAGUGCAUAUAUGAAGUUAAGGACAAGGGAUCCUAAAGUUUAGCAACAGAAGGUACAAAUACAAGUUAAGGACAUUAUGUCCUUAACAUUUACACUGCACACAUAAAGUUAAGGACGCUAUGUCCUUAAAAUUUACACUGCACAUAUGAAGUUAAGGACAUGACAUGAUACUUUGUCCUUAAUAUUUACACAACAUUGAUGAAGUUAAGGAUAGGGGUGUCAAAUGGGCGGGUUGGGUCAAUUUUAGGCGGAUUAAAAUGGGUUUAAUCAAUAAUUGGGCGGGUCACAAAAGUUACUUGGGCUAAGAUGGGUUGGGUCAAGAUGAGUUAAAAUUCGGGUCAUAACCCAACCUGCCCAAUUCUUAUUAAACUUUAAUUAUUAUGUAUUAUUUUCUUAUAAAUUGUAUAAUUACUAAAUAAGACUUUUUUGCUUUUGUUAUGGUCAUAUUUAAAAUACGGAGAAAGGUCAUAUAUGCCCCUAAACUAUACGUUUUGGAUCAAUAAUGCCCUCCAUCAACCUAUUGGGCCAAAUAUGUCCUUCCAUUAAUGUUUUUGCCUCACAAAUGCCAUUUGAGUUAACUGAUUGACACGUGUCAUUGUCCUGUUGGUCAAUUCUAAAUAUUUCUUAAUUAAUUAAAAAGACUAAUUAUUCAUACCCGAAAAAUAAUUUCUAAAGCAAUUUUUCUAAAAAAAAAUUUUACCAAAAACUGAAGAAAAAAAGGAUUUUUUCCCCACUUUUUACAAAAAAAAGAUAUUUUUUUAAUAAAACAAUAUUUUUGUAAAAAAUAAAAAAUAACAUACAAAAACAAAAGUAUAUUAUAUGUAUAUUAUUAUACAUAUAAUAUAUGACUUCAGAAUUGUAAAAUCGGGAGCUCACAUUAAAAGUAACAAAAUGCACAUGACUCCAGAAUUGUAAAAUCGGGAACUUUAAAAUUUCUAGCUUUGCUAAACUGGAAAGAAAAAGCUGGAAAAAAAUGGGUCUUUUGUAAAAUUUCCAGAUUUUACAAAAAUAUUAUUUUAGUAAAAGAUCUCUUUUUGUUUUUGUAAACAGUGGGGAAAAAAUCCUUUUUCUCUUCAGUUGUUAGUAAAAAAAAGGUUUAGAAAAAUUACUUUAGAAAAUUAUUUUUCGGGUAUGAAUAAUGAGCCUUUUUAAUUAAUUAAGAAAUAUUUAGAAUGGACCAACAUGACAAUGACACGUGUCCAUCCGUUAACUCAAAUGGCAUUUGUGAGCCAAAAACAUUAAUGAAAGGACAUAUUUGGCCCAAUAGGUUGAUGGAGGGCAUUAUUGAUCUAAAACGUAUAAUUUAGGGGCAUAUGUGACCCUUCUCCGUUAAAAUAUUAAACAAAAAAUAAAAUUAUUUUAAAGAUAUUUUGACAAACUUACUCAUAGAUCAAUUUGGGCUAAAAAUUAGCCCAACUUUAAAUGAGUUGAGAUGUGCUGGGACAAGAUGUGCUAAGUUCAGUAAAUGGCCGGGUCAAUAACCAACCCAACCUUGGGUGGGUUGGGCGGGUCAUUUGGGUUUGGGCCAAAUUUGACAGCCCUAGUUAAGGACACCUUGUCCUUAAUAUUUACACAACACUCAUGUCUAGCAUAGGGGUAUUUUCGUUCGGGCGGAAAAAAUUUAGUGAACACUAGCUAAGGAGUAAAUACAUUUUAAACAGUGACGAAAGAAUAAAAAUAUUUCUAAUUAGUGGCUAACUGUGCACUUCCCCGUUAAAUAUACUUGUGCCUCUAUAAGGUUGGUCCAAAUAUGCUACGCAUGAUUUUUUUUAAAAGGAAAAUGAAAUUUUGCCUUUGAAGUUUGAACUAUGCGAGCAAAAUGGUCCACAUUUGCCCCUUAUUGUUGUCUCAUUUUAAUUUUAAUUGUAAAUUCGGACAUAGCAUUUUAAAAUUAUUUAAAAUAAAAUUAAUAUAUUUAAAAAUUAUGUUGAAAGUAAUACUUAGUACAAGUUAUAGUUAAUACUCUUCUUAGAACACCCGUCUCUCUCAUCCUCUCGGCGCACGUUAGCAUAACGUAUGCCGAGCUCGUGGUUAUGGCGAAAGGCGGCAGUCGCGGAAGAGGACGACCGCGGAAAAUCCCGAUUGACACUUUUGACAAGCUGAAUCAAUUUGAUUCUAGAGAAGAACAGUACGAAGGAGGUGCAGAACCCCCCACAUGCGCUAGCCCUAGGCACCAUGGAAGCUCUUGAACAAGCUUCUGAGACAGUGACAGUACAGCAAGAGGCUCUAAUAGAUAUGGUAGACACGACUAUGGAAACGCCCAAGACAACAGAGGUCGAAGGGACUACAACCCUUCCGUGUACAGUGGAACCAGAUCCUUCGGCAGAGACAACCAUGCAACCAGCAAUGUCAAUAGAGGAACAACCAGAGACUAGCAAAAACACAUUAGUGGAGCCUAAGAAGAGCUGGUNNNNNNNNNNNNNNNNNNNNNNNNNNNNNNNNNNNNNNNNNNNNNNNNNNNNNNNNNNNNNNNNNNNNNNNNNNNNNNNNNNNNNNNNNNNNNNNNNNNNNNNUGGUCCUUACUCAAUAGCCAAUAGGCCUAUGAUACUCAAACAAUGGACACCUGAAUUUGAUUUCUCAGAAGAGUUCCCGACUGAAAUACCAUUGUGGGUCAAGUUUCCGAAACUACCAAUGUCUUGCUGGGGUAUGAGGUCUCUAAGAAGAAUUGCUAGUGUACUAGGAAAACCAAUUUUUGCGGAUGAAUGUACCACAAAACAGACACAGAUUUCUUAUGCCAGAAUGCUCAUUGAGGUGACUGUCACUAAAGAACUACCAACAUAGAUCUGGGUUAUGGAUCCGAAUGGGAAGAAGUUUCUUCAAGAUGUGGUCUAUGAUUGGAAUCCCUCCUAUUGUGAGAAAUGCCAAACAAUACGACACAAAUGUGCAGCGCAUCCAAAGAAAAUCCCAAAAUAGCCUACACAAGUGUGGAAGCCAAAGGCAGUCCAGGAAUGGAGAACUUUGGGUUAUGGAUCUGAAUGGGAAGAAGUUUCUUCAAGAUGUGGUCUAUGAGUGGAAGCCUUCCUAUUGUGAGAAAUGCCACAUAAUAGGACACAAUUGUGCAGCGCAGCCAAAGCAAAUCCCAAAACAGCCUAUACAAGUGAGGAAGCCAAAUGCAGUCCAGGAAUGGAGAACUAAGGGCCCUGCUGUGCCAAUGCAGAGACAACCUCCAAUACAUUAUAAUGAAUCCAAGGGGCUUCAUACUGAAGCCAGGACAGUCCAGAGCCAGAGGGCUGAGAAAGGCAGUGACAAUGGGAAACAACCUCAGAGUCCAGCACUCAACAUCACUAAUUUCCCACCUCUGUCCCCCAUCACUGUGAGUAACAGAUUUGAAGUAGUUUCUGGUAGUAAAGAUGACCCUCCAGGGGAGUUAGGAGGAUCAACAUAUUAUCAAUGAAGGGGUUAGUUUGGAAUAUAAUGGGUGUAAAUAAAAGGUACAAGCAGAAAGAAGUUAGGGAGUAUAUAAGGAAAAACAACAUUAANNNNNNNNNNNNNNNNNNNNNNNNNNNNNNNNNNNNNNNNNNNNNNNNNNNNNNNNNNNNNNNNNNNNNNNNNNNNNNNNNNNNNNNNNNNNNNNNNNNNNNNNNNNNNNNNNNNNNNNNNUAAGCAAAUACAUGCUAGUAGAAUUGCUAAUCUACUAGCACCAGGCUGGGGUAUCUUAACAAACUAUGUCUCAGGUGAAAAGGGUAGAGUGUGGAUUCCCUGGAAUCCAAAAGUUUUUAAGUCACUAGUGUUCUGGAGGAAAGCCAGUUGAUUCACAACAGGGUUUCAAGCAGGGCAGGGGAUUUCACAUGCUUCCUCACUGUGGUGUAUGGUUUUAAUGGGCUGGAACAGNNNNNNNNNNNNNNNNNNNNNNNNNNNNNNNNNNNNNNNNNNNNNNNNNNNNNNNNNNNNNNNNNNNNNNNNNNNNNNNNNNNNNNNNNNNNNNNNNNNNNNNNNNNNNNNNNNNNNNNNNNNNNNNNNNNNNNNNNNNNNNNNNNNNNNNNNNNNNNNNNNNNNNNNNUCAAGAUCCAUGGGUAGUUGCUGGGGAUUUCAAUGCUGUCUUAUGUGACAAAGAUAGGCAGUCCUGCAAACCAGUCAGACUCCCUGAAACUGAAGAGUUUAACAAAUGUAUUCAGCUAGCUGGUCUGUCAGAAUUGCCUUAGAGGGGUGACUAUUACACAUGGACAAAUAAACACAUUGGUGUGGACAGAGUAUACAGUAGACUGGACAGAGUCUUUGGUAACUAUGAAUGGAUGAUCAAAUAGAACCAGGUGGUAACUGAUUAUGAUCUGCCUCUAAUCUCAGACCAUAACCCUAUGAUAAUGACACUAACAUCAUCUGCCUGGCAUGGGAAAAAGAAUUUCAAAUUCUUUAAUGUCUGGGCUGACCAUGAGGAUUUCCAGCAGAUGCUGACAAGAGUGUGGCAGGGUGGAAAGUCAGACACUAUGAGAGCAAUAUGGUCCAAACUCAAAGCCUUGAAGAGCCCUUUGAAGGUCCUGAAUAUUAGAGAAUUCAAGACUAUCUCACAGAGAAUAGAACAGUGCAGACAGGAACUGGGGACAAUACAAGCCCAGAUGAAUAAAGGCCCUGAAUAUUAAAGAAUUCAAGACCAUCUCAUAGAGAAUAGAACAGUGCAGAUAGGAACUGGGGACAAUACAAGCCCAGAUGAAUCAAGCAUACACUGAUUGUCUACAACAGAAGGAGAAGGAGCUGGUACUAAAACUAGAAAAAUGGUCACUGAUUGAGGAAAGUGUUCUGCAACAGAAGGCAAGAGCAAAAUGGAAACAACUGGGGGACUCCAACACUAAGUACUUCUCUACAGUAAUGAAGAAAAGAACUCAACACAACUCGAUUACUGAACUUACCAAUGCAAGGGGAAUCAAACUUACUACAGCGGAAGACAUCAAAGAGGAAAUCAUGGGAUUCUACAAGUCACUGAUGGGAACCUCUGUAACCAAUCCGCCUGCUAUAAACCAACUAUACAUGUCAAAUGGCCCAAAACUGACACAACAACAAAGAAAGGAACUAUGUGCUGAUGUAACUGAUACAGAAAUAGCAGAGAGCCUCAAGGCUAUUGGAGAUGACAAAGUACCAGGGAUAGAUGGAUACAAUGUAGUAUUCUUCAAAAAGAGCUGGGGCAUCAUUGGUAACCAG
RNAcentral lists this long non-coding RNA (26715 nucleotides) under Nicotiana benthamiana. RNAcentral describes it as "long non-coding RNA (NBEN_LNC011725)". Lineage: Eukaryota; Viridiplantae; Streptophyta; Magnoliopsida; Solanales; Solanaceae. The record is from RNAcentral.